Molecule: ribosomal RNA, 328 nt
Filed under: uncultured eukaryote
Lineage: Eukaryota
Description: partial 18S ribosomal RNA
Rfam family: Eukaryotic small subunit ribosomal RNA
Source: RNAcentral
CCCUUAGACGUUCUGGGCCGCACGCGCGCUACACUGACGGAGCCAGCGAGUAUAAACCUUGGCCGAGAGGUCUGGGAAAUCUUGUGAAACUCCGUCGUGCUGGGGAUAGAGCAUUGUAAUUAUUGCUCUUCAACGAGGAAUUCCUAGUAAGCGCAAGUCAUCAGCUUGCGUUGAUUACGUCCCUGCCCUUUGUACACACCGCCCGUCGCUACUACCGAUUGAAUGGCUUAGUGAGGCUUCCUGAUUGGUUUAGAGAAGGGGGCAACUCCAUCUUGGAACCGAGAAGCUAGUCAAACUUGGUCAUUUAGAGGAAGUAAAAGUCGUAACA